RNAcentral lists this ribosomal RNA (367 nucleotides) under uncultured bacterium. Its description in RNAcentral is "bacterial SSU rRNA". It matches the Rfam family "Bacterial small subunit ribosomal RNA", at positions 28 to 416 of the family's 1533-position model. The record is from RNAcentral.
GAUGAACGCUGGCGGUAUGCUUUACACAUGCAAGUCAUACGGAAGUUAGUCUCGGCUAACUUCAGUGGCGGACGGGUGAGUAACACGUGAGAAUUCGCCUUUAGGAGGGGAUAACAGGGGAAACACCUGCUAAAACCCCAUAUGCCUUCGGGUCAAAAGAGUAAUCUGCCUAAAGAGAAGCUCGCGGCUGAUUAGCUAGUUGGUGGGGUAAAGGCCUACCAAGGCGACGAUCAGUAGCUGGUCUGAGAGGACGAUCAGCCACACUGGAACUGAGACACGGCCCAGACUCCUACGGGAGGCAGCAGUGGGGAAUAUUGGACAAUGGGCGAAAGCCUGAUCCAGCAAUGCCGCGUGAGUGAUGAAGGCC